Long non-coding RNA from Monodelphis domestica (gray short-tailed opossum), 686 nucleotides. RefSeq lists it as uncharacterized. The record is from RefSeq and is a predicted model, not a curated record. Lineage: Eukaryota; Metazoa; Chordata; Mammalia; Didelphimorphia; Didelphidae.
UUUUCCUUAUUCUCCUUUUCUAAGAUGCCUAGGAGGCAGAGAAGGCAGAGAUGAAACUCCAUAUUUGACAGAUGAAGAAAUUGUGACUGAAUAAGAGGACCUGGAUCAGUACCCUGUGGGAGACCUAUAUUGUUAGUGGGUGUGAUCUGAAUAAGGAUCUGACAAAGGAGACUGAGAGGGAGCAAACAGACCCCUGAAAAAUGAUAUUUAACAAGGGAGGAAUAUAAAAGUCCUACAUGAAUGUGAAGAGUCAACUAAAUCAACUAAAAAAAUGAAGGAUCCAGGAAGCCUACCUAGACAACAAUUGAUUCCUUGAAUUCAGAGAGCCUUCAUUCCAAUUGUUGCAGUGAGCUCCCAGCUCAGCGAGAAAGAGUAAGAGGAGAAGGUACCAUUCUCAUUCUGGUUCCAAGAGAAUGGUGGAGGCUUUGGUUUGAGGCUCUCAGGCCAGAAAGCUAAGCUUGGGGAACUGCAUUGAUAUGAAACCACCUGAAAAUGAGGCACCACCCAAUUUGGAACUAGGGGAUCUAGGGGGAAGACACAACAGGGAUUAAACUCAUUUCACAGAUGAAGAAAUCGAGACCAAGUAAAGGACAUUCUUGCUCAAAGUCACAUGGUAAUUCAGUGUAAGAGUUGAAGCUAGAAUCCAAGUAUUAAUUCAUUCAAUUUAAUAAAUUAUUCUUUCUUAA